AUGUUAGUGUGGAAUGUUAGGGGGCUUAAUAACCCUGCUAGAAGGUGCUCGAUCAGAUUGUUCACUCAGUCCUACAAUGUUUCUUUAGUUUGUUUUCAAGAAUCUAAGAUGGCAAUGUUGGAUGCCACUGUGGUUUGCGAGACUUUGGGCCCUGCUUUUGAUGGGUUUGAUUUUCUGCCAGCGGAUGGCACG
Molecule: ribosomal RNA, 192 nt
Filed under: Triticum aestivum (bread wheat)
Lineage: Eukaryota; Viridiplantae; Streptophyta; Magnoliopsida; Poales; Poaceae
Description: partial small subunit ribosomal RNA
Source: RNAcentral